AGUGGGAUAGUUUAAUAGUAGAACAGUUGUCUCCAAAGCAUCUAGUAUCAGUGCAAUUCUGGUUCCCGCUG
This 71-nucleotide transfer RNA is filed under the name Dictyostelium citrinum. RNAcentral's name for it is "tRNA-Trp". It matches the Rfam family "tRNA". From Rfam's summary of the family: Transfer RNA (tRNA) molecules are approximately 80 nucleotides in length. Lineage: Eukaryota; Evosea; Eumycetozoa; Dictyosteliales; Dictyosteliaceae. The record is from RNAcentral.